This 274-nucleotide ribosomal RNA is filed under the name uncultured bacterium. RNAcentral's name for it is "partial 16S ribosomal RNA". It matches the Rfam family "Bacterial small subunit ribosomal RNA", at positions 523 to 796 of the family's 1533-position model. The record is from RNAcentral.
AUACGUAGGGUGCGAGCGUUGUUCGGAGUUACUGGGCUUAAAGGGUGCGUAGGCGGUAGGAUCAGUUAGCGAUAAAAUAGUCCGGCUUAACCGGAUAUCUGUUGCUAAUACUGUCUUACUAGGAUUUACACGACGUAACCGGAAUUCCGGGUGUAGCGGUGAAAUGCGUAGAUAUUCGGAGGAAUGCCGAAAGCGUAGGCAGGUUACGAGUGUAAGAUUGACGCUGAUGCACGAAGGCGUGGGUAGCGAACAGAAUUAGAAACCCUAGUAGUCC